UACGUAGGUGGCAAGCGUUGUCCGGAAUCAUUGGGCGUAAAGCGCGCGUAGGCGGCCCGGUAAGUCCGUUGUGAAAGUCAAAGGCUCAACCUUUGAACGCCGAUGGAUACUGCCGGGCUAGAGUCCGGAAGAGGCGAGUGGAAUUCCUGGUGUAGCGGUGGAAUGCGCAGAUAUCAGGAGGAACACCAAUAGCGAAGGCAGCUCGCUGGGACGGUACUGACGCUGAGGCGCGAAAGCGUGGGGAGGCGAACAGG
RNAcentral lists this ribosomal RNA (254 nucleotides) under uncultured bacterium. Its description in RNAcentral is "partial 16S ribosomal RNA". It matches the Rfam family "Bacterial small subunit ribosomal RNA", at positions 524 to 776 of the family's 1533-position model. The record is from RNAcentral.